AGAACGAACGCUGGCGGCAUGCCUAAUACAUGCAAGUCGAACGAGAUCUUCGGAUCUAGUGGCGCACGGGUGCGUAACGCGUGGGAAUCUACCCUUGGGUUCGGAAUAACAGUUGGAAACGACUGCUAAUACCGGAUGAUGACGAAAGUCCAAAGAUUUAUCGCCCAGGGAUGAGCCCGCGUAGGAUUAGCUAGUUGGUGAGGUAAAGGCUCACCAAGGCUACGAUCCUUAGCUGGUCUGAGAGGAUGAUCAGCCACACUGGGACUGAGACACGGCCCAGACUCCUACGGGAGGCAGCAGUAGGGAAUAUUGGACAAUGGGGGCAACCCUGAUCCAGCAAUGCCGCGUGAGUGAUGAAGGCCUUAGGGUGUAAGCUCUUUACCGAGAUGAUAAUGACUAGUAGUCGGAG
This 409-nucleotide ribosomal RNA is filed under the name uncultured soil bacterium. RNAcentral describes it as "bacterial SSU rRNA". It matches the Rfam family "Bacterial small subunit ribosomal RNA", at positions 26 to 473 of the family's 1533-position model. The record is from RNAcentral.